This is a long non-coding RNA of Zonotrichia albicollis (white-throated sparrow), 1697 nucleotides long. Lineage: Eukaryota; Metazoa; Chordata; Aves; Passeriformes; Passerellidae. The record is from Ensembl.
GGUAGAUGAAACCUUUUAUCUUUGAAAGUUUUGAAUAUUGUCAAUGUUUUCAGCCAGGACACUGGACUAAAAGACAGAUGAAUGUGCUCAGCAGACAGUGGCAAGGUCCAUUUUGCUGUGUAACAUACACAUGCUGCAGGUACUGGCUGAACAUAAUCUCCUGGAAAACAAGGCAAUCUUUAUUGGUUCAGCAGAAGGGCAGAGACCCACCCCAUGCCUAUGAAACCUGAAGACCUUUUCCCCAAGCAUUUCCCCUCCUCAGCAUUCUCCCUGCUGCUCUUUGCACAGUGAAGAGGUCUAGAACAACUUUAUUUAGAGAAAGGGAUGCAGGCAUCAUUUUGGUAUUCUGGAUGUGAGGAAGAACUUCUUUAUUGUGAGGGUGACUGAGCACUGGAACACGUUGUCCAGAGAAGUCGUGGAGUCUCCUUGUCUGGAGAUAUUAAAAAGCUGUCUGGACACAAUCCUGGGUAGAGCUGUAAGGGAUCCUGCUUGAGCUGGGAGGUUGGAAAAGAUGACCUCCAGUGAUGCCUUCCAAACCUGAACCAUUCCAUGACUGUGAUUUUCUGAUACUCCUUUUCCCAAUGUAAAGGUGCUGAGAUAAUUACAAUGCUGAGCACAAAUAUUUGAGUAGAUGGGAGACAGAUGACUCAGUAAGAUCAAUCUAUUGAUCUCAAGAUUUUUUAAGUAUUUAAGUGCCAUGCAAGAAUUAAAGGUAUUUCUGAGUAUACAGUAAAUGGCUUUAUUCUGACAAGCUCUUUUGUUUAUUUUUUACAUGACAGAGAAUGAGAAUGUCAUUGAACUUGGAAUAUCUUUUAGGAAAAAACAAGUGUUCAGCAGCCUGUUUGAUGCUGACAGCCUUGAGCAGGGUUCCCACCAGCCAGGGGCAGCAGUUGACUUCACACCAUUUCAUCCACUGGACACAUCACCGGAUCUAUCUCAUGUGACUUUGGACCCCAUUCAAUUCCUAAAGUUCAGCUGUGUCUAUCAGGAAAAUCCCGUCCUCUCUGCAAGCAGUCUCACUUGAGGCUAUUGAACUGUCUUCACAAACAAGGAUCUGCACAGUCACAUUGUGUACCCACUGAGCAAGCUCAUAUGGACAGCAGGGAAGUCACUGCACUCCCCAGAGCACAGGUGAGGCUGCGGUCCCUGUACUUGCAUCCAUGCUUCCAUAGUUUGCUCUUUCCAUUGAGAAAAAAUGUCUUUCAUCAGUGGUCUCUGCUGCACAAAUCUUGGUCAAGCAUUUUCAAAAGGGAGGCUUGGUGCAUCUCUGUUUCCAUGGGCAUGUUCACGGAGCCAAGAGCCAUGAUGUCAGCAGGCACGGACAUACUGUACUGGAACUGAGGAAACCAGCUUGGGCAGUGGCAGCAGCACACUGUGGCGCUGGGAGUUUGGGAUAAAUUGGGCAGAUCUGCCUAGAAAUGGCAAGUGCAUUCAGAGGUAGCUGUUAUGCACUAAGGACCAUACGCAGAGCAUCCUUCUGGCGGCACCCCAAGGGCAGAGGUGUCUCUGUCCUUGCUGCAGGGACACCUCCUAUUUCAGUGUGGGUGGUUUCUGCUGCUAGACACAACAUCAGUGUGUUGAGACUGUGGGGAUAUGAUGCAAAAGUAAACAUUUACAAGUCAGUUUAAAUAGGUAGUAAUGGCCACUAAUUAUGUGAAUCAAAUAAAAUAACUGGUAUUUGAAUGAUUGACCUUUAA